CAUAGCCGCGGUAAUACGGAGGGUGCAAGCGUUAAUCGGAAUUACUGGGCGUAAAGCGCACGCAGGCGGUCUGACAAGUCAGAUGUGAAAUCCCCGGGCUUAACCUGGGAACUGCAUUUGAAACUGUCAGGCUGGAGUCUUGUAGAGGGGGGUGGAAUUCCAGGUGUAGCGGUGAAAUGCGUAGAGAUCUGGAGGAAUACCGGUGGCGAAGGCGGCCCCCUGGACAAAGACUGACGCUCAGGUGCGAAAGCGUGGGGAGCAAACAGGAUUAGAUACCCGGGUAGUCCCUGUCUCUUAUACC
Molecule: ribosomal RNA, 301 nt
Filed under: uncultured bacterium
Lineage: Bacteria
Description: partial 16S ribosomal RNA
Rfam family: Bacterial small subunit ribosomal RNA
Source: RNAcentral